GCUGCGGCUCGCGAGGGGACACGCACGCACGGACACCGUCAGUUCGCCAUGGCUCUGCUCGCCAGCGCGCCACCAAUCUUCCACCUCCAGUUUCCCCUCGCCACCGCGCGCGCCUUUCACCUCCUCCCUCAUUCCACAACCAGACCCACGCCCACCCACCGCCGCCGUUCCCUCUCCGCCCGCGCAUCCGACUCCGACGCUCCGCAGCAGGUCAACCUCUCCGUCCUCCGCUUCACCCUCGGGAUCCCCGGGCUGGACGAGUCGUAUCUCCCGAGGUGGAUAGGCCUCGGCUUCGGCGCACUCGUGCUCCUCAACCACCUCCUCUCGCCGUCCCCUACUCCCGCCCAGCUCAGGUCGGAGGCUCUGGGCCUGUGCCUGGCCGCGUUCUCGGCGGCGCUGCCGUACCUCGGCAGGUUUCUAGAGGGUGCCGGUGCUGCCGGCCGUGUGCCGUUGCCUGAGGGGAGCAGGCAGGUGUUUGUGAUUCCUGAAGAUAUGUCGGCGGCUCAGAAGGAGGAUAUGGCAUGGGCGACCUACGUUCUGCUGCAGAACACAAACACCACGUCUGUGCUCAUAGCAAUUGGCAAUGUGUUGUGCAUACGAGGAUACUGGGAUCCUCCUGCGGAUAUUUCUAAAUAUGCCAUGAUUGAGUGGUUCAAGAGCCAAAUGGAGCAAGCUGGACUUGUUAAUCUGAGCAGUGCUUUGUACUUGCCUAAUUUUUCUGACACUCAGCUUGGCAAGAUUCUACCGCAAGGAAUUCUUUCUGUGUUGGCACAACCAAUUGUGAGCAACCCUGAUCGAGCUAAUGGUGAAACAGAAGUUGAAGGAGUUGUCCUGUUGGCCUCCAAUGCAAAUUAUGCAUAUAGCGAGAAAGAUAGAGUAUGGAUAAGAACGGUUGCAAAUAAAUUUCGACGUGCAUAGUUCAACGAUGCCCAAGGCACCAGUGUAAAAAAUAGCGGUUUCACAAGGCUUGGGGUGUGUGCAAUAGAAUGGCGGGCGCAAACUGGUAUUGGCGCUUCUCCUUGGCAACUUAGACAAGGACACAAGAAAAUACUGUUCCACGGAUUUCAGUCUUGACUGCAAGUUCUUUUCCAAUAAGCCCCAGUUUCACUAUCAGUCAUAUUGAUGAACGGACAGGAGUUCAGGUAUGUUGAUGGCAGGCCACCAGCUCAGUUCAAAUGGUAAAACCCCCAGCUGAACAUAACCUGGCUACAGCGCACUAAGCGCCUUGUCAAGUUACAACUAAGGGAAUAGCAUAGUUCAACACAAGAUAACAACCCAGACUGGCAAACAAUAAUUGCCCUCUUACAACUAAAGCGACCCUAUCGCCCAGCAGAAUCAUUCAGGCUCUUCAAAAUCAUCUUUGAUGUCAUUGCCUUCAGUUCCUUGGACCAUCAUCAGCCUUUUGUGCAGCAGCAGGGCUUCAAACAUGAUUACAGAGAGCAUUGGUUCUAAGAUGUCAGCAUCAGUAGUCAGCAAGUCAUUCUCAUUCCCUUAUUGUAAACCUGCCCAGUAUUUUAAGAACGAACAUGUAUAGCAAUUAGCAAUUACCUAAGCAGGCUAUAUGUCUUAUUUUCCAAAUCACCCAGCCCAUUGCGGCUAUACCCACAACCUGAAUGUUAUAUCCCACAUGUAAUUAGUGUUUACUGCAAUAUGAUGGUUAUAUCAGAAUUUGCACGAAAACUUCCACCCCAUACGGGGCAGUUGGCCACUGCCCUCUAUCCACCAAGAGCUCUGGUUGCACUAAAACCAUGACAAGUAUUUAGGAACAGAGGGAGUAUCUUGUAUAUAUGUGCCAAAAACUUGUGAAUGCAGCCAGUGACUGAUUUUAUGCCUUGCCAUUUCAAA
Brachypodium distachyon (stiff brome) is the source of this 1845-nucleotide RNA transcript. It is a transcript of the gene named protein COFACTOR ASSEMBLY OF COMPLEX C SUBUNIT B CCB2, chloroplastic, with no coding region annotated. The record is from RefSeq and is a predicted model, not a curated record. NCBI's taxonomy places the organism in Eukaryota, Viridiplantae, Streptophyta, Magnoliopsida, Poales, Poaceae. The transcript is spliced from 8 exons.